RNAcentral lists this ribosomal RNA (1372 nucleotides) under uncultured bacterium. Its description in RNAcentral is "bacterial SSU rRNA". It matches the Rfam family "Bacterial small subunit ribosomal RNA", at positions 28 to 1381 of the family's 1533-position model. The record is from RNAcentral.
GAUGAACGCUGGCGGCGUGCCUAAUACACGCAAGUCGAGCGAACGGACGAGAAGCUUGCUUCUCUGAUGUUAGCGGCGGACGGGUGAGUAACACGUGGAUAACCUACCUAUAAGACUGGGAUAACUUCGGGAAACCGGAGCUAAUACCGGAUAAUAUUUUGAACCGCAUGGUUCAAAAGUGAAAGACGGUCUUGCUGUCACUUAUAGAUGGAUCCGCGCUGCAUUAGCUAGUUGGUAAGGUAACGGCUUACCAAGGCAACGAUGCAUAGCCGACCUGAGAGGGUGAUCGGCCACACUGGAACUGAGACACGGUCCAGACUCCUACGGGAGGCAGCAGUAGGGAAUCUUCCGCAAUGGGCGAAAGCCUGACGGAGCAACGCCGCGUGAGUGAUGAAGGUCUUCGGAUCGUAAAACUCUGUUAUUAGGGAAGAACAUAUGUGUAAGUAACUGUGCACAUCUUGACGGUACCUAAUCAGAAAGCCACGGCUAACUACGUGCCAGCAGCCGCGGUAAUACGUAGGUGGCAAGCGUUAUCCGGAAUUAUUGGGCGUAAAGCGCGCGUAGGCGGUUUUUUAAGUCUGAUGUGAAAGCCCACGGCUCAACCGUGGAGGGUCAUUGGAAACUGGAAAACUUGAGUGCAGAAGAGGAAGGUGGAAUUCCAUGUGUAGCGGUGAAAUGCGCAGAGAUAUGGAGGAACACCAGUGGCGAAGGCGACUUUCUGGUCUGUAACUGACGCUGAUGUGCGAAAGCGUGGGGAUCAAACAGGAUUAGAUACCCUGGUAGUCCACGCCGUAAACGAUGAGUGCUAAGUGUUAGGGGGUUUCCGCCCCUUAGUGCUGCAGCUAACGCAUUAAGCACUCCGCCUGGGGAGUACGACCGCAAGGUUGAAACUCAAAGGAAUUGACGGGGACCCGCACAAGCGGUGGAGCAUGUGGUUUAAUUCGAAGCAACGCGAAGAACCUUACCAAAUCUUGACAUCCUUUGACAACUCUAGAGAUAGAGCUUUCCCCUUCGGGGGACAAAGUGACAGGUGGUGCAUGGUUGUCGUCAGCUCGUGUCGUGAGAUGUUGGGUUAAGUCCCGCAACGAGCGCAACCCUUAAGCUUAGUUGCCAUCAUUAAGUUGGGCACUCUAAGUUGACUGCCGGUGACAAACCGGAGGAAGGUGGGGAUGACGUCAAAUCAUCAUGCCCCUUAUGAUUUGGGCUACACACGUGCUACAAUGGACAAUACAAAGGGCAGCGAAACCGUGAGGCCAAGCAAAUCCCAUAAAGUUGUUCUCAGUUCGGAUUGUAGUCUGCAACUCGACUACAUGAAGCUGGAAUCGCUAGUAAUCGUAGAUCAGCAUGCUACGGUGAAUACGUUCCCGGGUCU